AGCAGCCGCCGCGGGAAUACGAAGGGUGCAGGUGUUAAUCGGAAUUACUGGGCGUAAAGCGUGCGUAGGCGGUGAGUUAAGUCUGCUGUGAAAUCCCCGGGCUCAACCUGGGAAUGGCAGUGGAUACUGGCUCGCUAGAGUGUGUCAGAGGAUGGUGGAAUUCCCGGUGUAGCGGUGAAAUGCGUAGAGAUCGGGAGGAACAUCAGUGGCGAAGGCGGCCAUCUGGGACAACACUGACGCUGAGGCACGAAAGCAUGGGGAGCGAACAGGAUCAGAUACCCGCGUAGUCCCUGUCUCUUAUAC
RNAcentral lists this ribosomal RNA (303 nucleotides) under uncultured bacterium. Its description in RNAcentral is "partial 16S ribosomal RNA". It matches the Rfam family "Bacterial small subunit ribosomal RNA", at positions 507 to 807 of the family's 1533-position model. The record is from RNAcentral.